Molecule: ribosomal RNA, 484 nt
Filed under: uncultured bacterium
Lineage: Bacteria
Description: partial 16S ribosomal RNA
Rfam family: Bacterial small subunit ribosomal RNA
Source: RNAcentral
AUUGAACGCUGGCGGCAGGCCUAACACAUGCAAGUCGAGCGGAUGAAGGGAGCUUGCUCCUGGAUUCAGCGGCGGACGGGUGAGUAAUGCCUAGGAAUCUGCCUGGUAGUGGGGGAUAACGUCCGGAAACGGGCGCUAAUACCGCAUACGUCCUGAGGGAGAAAGUGGGGGAUCUUCGGACCUCACGCUCUCAGAUGAGCCUAGGUCGGAUUAGCUAGUUGGUGGGGUAAAGGCCUACCAAGGCGACGAUCCGUAACUGGACUGAGAGGAUGAUCAGUCACACUGGAACUGAGACACGGUCCAGACUCCUACGAGAGGCAGCAGUGGGGAAUAUUGGACAAUGGGCGAAAGCCUGAUCCAGCCAGGCCGCGUGUGUGAAGAAGGUCUUCGGAUUGUAAAGCACUUUAAGUGGGGAGGAAGGGCAGUAAGUUAAUACCUUGCUGUUUUGACGUUACCAACAGAAUAAGCACCGGCUAACUUCGUG